RNAcentral lists this long non-coding RNA (215 nucleotides) under Carica papaya (papaya). RNAcentral's name for it is "long non-coding RNA (CPAP_LNC002292)". Lineage: Eukaryota; Viridiplantae; Streptophyta; Magnoliopsida; Brassicales; Caricaceae. The record is from RNAcentral.
ACAGCCCAAAUUGCAUCGCGAUGGACGGCCCAGAUUUAAUCCCAAUUAAAUCGCGAUCGAACGGUCCAGAUUUAAUCUUGAUGGACGGUUGAGAUCAAAAGGCAAAGGGUAUAAAUAACCCCACCCACACCUGACCACAAAAACCCUAGCCGCCACUGCCUCACCGGAGAAGAAGAACUAGACGCCGGAGGAGCCGACCGCCGCCACCCGCCGAC